GUGUGCUUCGGCUUAGUUUUUUUUUAAAUUAGGUCCAGAGUUGGGAUUGGACACCCUUCCCCACUCUUAAUGAAAUGUUAAUAAAAAAUGUUCUACGGCAAUACUCUUUUCAACACUAGUUGAAAUGGGAAGCUAAAUAGUUUAAGGUUUACUUGACAAUAAAUCAAUCCAGCGUGUGCUUCGGCUUAGUUUUUUUUUAAUUAGGUCCAAAGUUAGGGUCGGACACCCUACCCCACCCUUUCAAAAAGUAUAAUAAACAAAUUUUCUACGGCAAUACUCUUUUC
This 284-nucleotide long non-coding RNA is filed under the name Mytilus galloprovincialis (Mediterranean mussel). Lineage: Eukaryota; Metazoa; Mollusca; Bivalvia; Mytilida; Mytilidae. The record is from RNAcentral.